UGGCGUUCGGCGCGGGUUGGGGGCUGGCGGGUUUCUGCCCCGGCCCGGCGCUGGUGGCGGCGGCGGCCGGCGUGCGGGAGGCACUGAUCUUCGU
RNAcentral lists this transfer RNA (94 nucleotides) under Achromobacter dolens. RNAcentral's name for it is "tRNA-Arg". The record is from RNAcentral. Lineage: Bacteria; Pseudomonadati; Pseudomonadota; Betaproteobacteria; Burkholderiales; Alcaligenaceae.